Amphiprion ocellaris (clown anemonefish) is the source of this 7010-nucleotide RNA transcript. It is a transcript of the gene named transmembrane protein 14C-like, with no coding region annotated. NCBI's taxonomy places the organism in Eukaryota, Metazoa, Chordata, Actinopteri, Pomacentridae. The record is from RefSeq and is a predicted model, not a curated record. The transcript is spliced from 8 exons.
AUUCAGAGUAAUUUCAACGAAACAUGACCGACACGAAGAAAAGAGUUAGACCGAAAUCCUCAAAAGUUUGGCAGCAUUUCACGCUUCACAAAACAAAAAACACGCGUAACAUGCAAGCUUUACAAAAGUGAUAUGAUGUACGGGAGCACCACGAUGAUGAUGCAGCACCUGAAACGGAAACACGUUGGAGUCGCCGAUGAGGAUGAAGGAGCUCAACAGCAGGUGAACAAAUGAACCUGGAAAUGAGUGUUUUCUGACGAGGAAGUGGUUUGUUUUGAAACUUAGCGUGUUUUAAUCAGGGACCUGAGUUGUCCGGGUUGAACUGAGCUGUUUGUGGAGACUGUUGGUUCCGAUGGCUGUGGACUGGAUCGGACUGAGUUAUGCUGUUCUGGUGUCAGCUGGAGGAGUCCUGGGUUUCCUGAAAGCAGGCAGCCUCACCUCUCUGCUCGCUGGUCUGCUGUUUGGCCUGCUGGCUGCCGUCGGCUCUUAUCAGACGUCUCAGAACCCCAGGAAUGUGUGGCUUUCGCUGGUGACUGCAGGAACUCUGGCCGCCGUGAUGGGACUCCGGUUCCUGAACUCCUGGAAGUUCAUGCCGGCCGGUUUGAUGACUUUAGCGAGUGCACUGAUGCUGGUGAAGAUCAUCACUGGGAUGUUAAAGACGCGACCACACAAAACCUGAAUGCGGCAGAAGUCCUGACCCGCCUGUACAACACUGAACAAUAUUUAAUAAACCGACACCAGCAGGAACGUAGGUAGGUUCUGCUACCGAUGACCUCUGUAUUUGGCCGUCCAGUCGACCCGGCCGUGGACCGGCUGCAGGUUGGAGCUCCUGGAGAAGGAGGGUUUUAAGGCAGCAGGAACCUGAGGAUUCACAGACCUGCUCCUCUGUCCUCCUUCGUUCUCUGAGAGGAACAUAGAAGACAAGAAGUGUACCGAGGCUGCUUCUCUGUUAGUUUGGGAAGACUGACAUCUAGAACCACGACACGAGACAGAAAACCAGAAGGAGGAGUGAAAAAAUACGGCAAAGAGGGUGAGAAGUGAAAGUCAUGCAUGGACGAUCAAUAUAAUUUAGCAUUCGCAGCUUUUUACUGAGUGAUGGGUGACAAGAAAAAGAGAAUUAAUUGCUAUGACUGCAAAACUACAUCCAAUUGCCCUGCAGUUUAGAGUGCAGCAGGAUGUAGAUAUUCUGUCAGAGAUAAAUGUUGUCAUAAUUGGAGUUAUUGGAAGAACGUUCUUAUUUUGCAGAAUCUGAACGCUUCUCAUCACAAGACACAGUUUGUCAGUAAAACCUGAAUGUAAUAAUUACAUGAGUUUUACUGAGCUCCAACCAUCAGGUAGGGUUGGUUUCCUGCUUUCAUAUGACAGAGUUUAGCCUCUAAGAAGCAGAAAUCAUUUGAUGACACCACAGCUUGGAUGGAUUAGCCAGACAGACAGAGAAAUGUAAGAUAAGAUAAACUUUAUUCAUCCAACACCAGAUUAAUUCACAGUGUCUUGUGGAGACAGUUUCCUCUUUAAAAACUUAAGAGUUCUAACAUUAAUCCUCGGAUCCUCCUCACCUUUACCCAGAGGAAACUCCAGCCCCGGUGCUCUGCUGUUGCCCCACGUCUUUUUGCCCUGGCUUCCUGCUGCCAAGUUGCUUUUUGGAUUUACUCCUGAAAAAGAGAAACAGCUCAGGGUGAGUUUAGUGCACCAGAACCCACACACCAUAGAGCAGUUAAUUCAGUCUGACAUGCUGUUAAUGUAAUCCUGUUUAUUCUCAUCAUACUUUCAACCCAGUUUGGGAACUGAUUGAUAAAUCCUAGAGGAGGUUAAUAAAAAAAAGUCUAAAAAAAAUAAUAUAAACAGUAGGGAUGUCCGAUAUUGGCUUUUUUGCCGAUAACCGAUAUGCUGAUAUCGUCCAACUCUCAAUUUCUGAUUCCGAUAUCAACUGAUACCGAUAUCUGUGGGUUGUUUAACUAAUUUUAGGUAACAUCUCAUAUCUGCUGUGGUGGAAUUAACACAUCAUGCCUCAUUUUAUUGUGAUGCUCCAUUGGAUGCAUUCUCAGAUGCAACAAGGAUUUCAGAUGGAAACAUUGUCUGUAAAAUAAGAAAACUACUUUAAGUGAUGGAAAAAAAUGACAUAUUUAUGACAUUUUAUUUUCUUAUUAUUACUAUUAUUACUAUUAUUAUUAUUAUUAUUAUUAUUAUUAUUAUAACAGUUCACACUCUCCCUCACUCUAUGAGUCGGUAAAUGCCGGCGAAAACCAGGCGUUAAUUUAUCGGUUUUUAUAACAGACAAAAAAGACCCAAUAACAGUAUUGACAGAUAUUACAUUUUUAUGCCAAUAUCAGGCUGAUAAUAUCAGUGAGCCGAUAUUAUCAGAGAUCCCUAAUCAUUUCCUUGUUUUUUUUUUUUAUAAAUCUGUACUUUCUAGUUUUAUUGUUUUGUUGUUUUUUAGUUUUUGCUUUCAUACCGUAGAAGCUGGAUUUUGAGGGACAGGUAGCAUACUUGUCCUCACCAGGUACGUAUCUGGACUGGCGCAGGUAAUGCUGCUUGGCGGACAGCGUGGUGGAGUCGGUCCUGCUCAGCCCAGCAUUGCUUGGCAGCUUUGCUCCUGCGCUGGUCUUUGGCUCUGAAGAUCUACAUAAACACUGAUUAUUGCAUUUGUUCAGAACUCUAACAGAGACACUUUUUACUUGACGAUGAAGUUCUCUCACCGAUCCAGAGCCCUGUUCUUCAGAGACGUGAUCGUGGGUUUCUUAGAGAUGGAAACUCCGGCGUCUGCGUCGUCCCCGUCGUCCCAGCUGUCCACCGACUUGAAGGACGUCUGGCCCCAUCGUCGCCGUCCUGUCCGAGUCACAGAUACGCUGUUCUCUGCUCCAGAGGCAGCUCCUCGCUGGCAAAGAAAGAGCGUCUCCGUUAUUCUCAUGCACGGUACAAAUGAACAAAUAAUAACCUAGCAUUAGUCGAUUGUAGUCUUGCUGAAGGGGAGACUAAGUACCAAAUCAUGGGCCAGAGUCUAAGACUUGACCAUGUUCAAAUGCUUAGGAUCUUCUAAAAAUCACCAGGGGAAGUCAGCAUUCUGAGGCAGCAGAAUUUAUUGUCGACAUAAACCCAGGAGUAGCUCUUAGCAGUGAUUAUCACCCUAAGAAAAACCAGAGAUACUGAGCUGUGCUUCGUCUUUUAAACUGUGAGCGUUGGUCAUUUUUCCACGCCUGUGUUCUCCACAGACACAUCCCACACCAUCAAACACCAGUCAUUACUGGAAUAUUCAUCAUUAUGUAUUUUAUACGUUUUAACUCUGGUCUUCAGUCUAGUAGCAUUUGCCAUAAUUCUAUCAUCUUUUACUUUUAGCACAGCAAAGCUAUGAAAAAGUUGAAGUCAAAAUGUCUCAAAACUCAAACCUAAAAUGAGCGACAUUGUCCUAAAUGAUGGAGACAAAAUGAAGUUUUCAUUCUUUACCUGACCGACAGUCUUAAAGCUCCCUGGCUGCCUGUUCUUCACCAGGCUCAGAGGUUCUUGUUGGGCUUCUGUCAGAGCACUGGGACACAUCAGUUGGUGUACAUUGGGCUCCAUGUUCUCCUGAGGAAGGUUGAUCUGCUGCAGAGGCUGAUGGAGCGACUGGCUGCAGGUCUGUGGUUCUGGUCGGGGCUUGUUAAGUUCACAGGAGUCCAGAUCAGUCUUACAGAGGGACAGCGGCUUCAGGUCUGGAGCUGCUUCAGACGCCUUUUCCUGGUUCCUGUGCUGCUCUGAGGACUUCAGAGGACCACCGAGGGACUGGCCGACAUGGAAGUAGGGAUAUCUGAGAGCCUGGAAACACGGCCAGUACAAAACCAAGAAAAUAUCAGCAAGAUUUGUGCAUGGAAUAAGUGGCACAAUACAAUAAAUGAAGUACAAGAAGAGCAUACAGAAAAACAUGACACAAUUAUUUUAACCCUCCUAUUGUCCUCAUUUACAUGCACCAAAAAAUAUUGUUUCCUUGUCUGAAAAAAAUCCAAAAAUUUAGCAAAAAAAUUCCCCAAAUUUCUGAAAAUUUGCAAAACCUCCAGGAAGAAUAAUUCCUGAAGUUUCCCUAAAGGUUUCAUUUUAAAAAAAUCCCCCAAAUUUGGUAAGAAAAUUCUUGUAAAUAUUUCUAAAAAAUGAGUAAAAAUCUUCCAAAAAAUCCUAAAAAUAUCUAAAGUGAUUCCAUAUAUAUCAGUAAAACUUCUAAUAUUUUCUUUAAGAACAUUCACAUAAAAAUUAACCAAAAUCCAGUGAAAUUUGCUGGACUUUGGUUGAUUAUUUGUGAAUAUUCUUAAAGAAACAUUUUUUAUAUAUUUCCUUUUUCCACCAAAAUGUGACAAAAUUUUGAAAAUGUGGACAUCAGAAAUUUCACAGUGAAAAUAUAUUUUUUCCCCCACAUUUUCAAACUUUAAAUUUGCAAAACCUUAAGUAGAAAAAUUCCAAAAAUUCCUUGAGAAGUGAGCAAAAAUCUUUCAAAAAAACCCCCUAAAAAUAUCUAAUGAUAACAAACAUAUCAGUAAAACUUCUAAUAUAUUCUUGAAGAACAUUCACAUAAGUUUCACUGUGAAUUUUUAAUUUUUUCUCCACAUUUUCAAACUUUAAACCAGGUCAAUUUUGACCCGCAGGACAACACGAGGGUUAAUAAAACAUAGAAAUUAAGAGCUGAAAAUAACAUAGAAACAAUGGGAUGUGUUGUUUUUGUCCCCAUUUGUCUCAGAAACCUUGAAUUGUUCAUGAACUGCCUCAGAACAUCCACAUGUCAGGUUUGGUUUUACAUUAAGCUGAUUGAUCCCACUUGGACCACUGCUGCUAAGAAUAGAUGCACUCGAGGUACUUAAAGGAUCUCGGGAUGAAAGCGUUCACCCAAAGGACUUGUGUCUGGAAACAGUGUCACCUCAGCGUGAGCCAGUCUGUCUGCUCGUUCUAAUCUGUGUGAAAACUCAGCAGGUUUUAAACAUACCUGAGCAGCACUCGGCCUUUUCUCAGGGUCCCACUGCAGCAUGUCUUUCAUCAGAGCGAUCGCCUCGUUGCUGGCGUUGGGAAUCAGCGACCUGAGGCUGGUGGGGGCGUACUUUGGGAAGCGGAAGUUCAUGGAUGUGGCCAGGUUGUAGCCCUCAGGCCAGUCAGACUGAUGGGAAUAAGAAUAACUUCAUUUGUAUAGCACCUUUAAGAAGAACAUUCACAAUGUGCUUUGACAGGUAGAACAGAAAAAAAAUGACAAAAAUGUACAGAAUGGAUAGCUGAUUGACCCUCCUGUUGUCCUCAUUUAUGGGCACCAAAAAUAUUGUUUCCUUUCUGAAAAAAAUCCAAAAAAAUCUGCAAAAAAAUUCCUCAAAUUCCUUCUGAAAAUUUGCAAAACCUUCAGGAAGAAAAUGCCAAUAAUUCCGUCAAAGUUUUCCUUGAAAGUUUGAUUUUAAAAAAUCCCCCAAAUUUGGCAAGAAAAUUCUUGUAAAUAUUUUCAAAAAAUAAGUAAAAAUCUUCCAAAAAAUCCUAAAAAUAUCCAAAGUGAUUCCAUAUAUAUCAGUAAAACUUCUAAGAUUUUCUUUAAGAACAUUCACAUAAAAAUCAACUAAAAUCCAGUGAAAUUCACUGGAUUUUGGUAGAUUUUUAUGUGAAUGUUCAUAAGAAACAUUUUUAACAUUUCUUUUUUUCCACCAAAAAAUGUUUCACUGUGAAAAUAUAUUUUAUUCCACAUUUUCAAACUUUACAAUGGAUCAAUUUUGACCCGCAGGAUGACACGAGGGUUAAAAUAUAGCCAGAGGCAAGCGUUAUCGAGCUUUAAAAGUGAUCCGUAGAACCGUAAAAUCAAUUCUAAAAUGGACAGGGAGCCGAUGAAGACAAUCCAGAACAGGGGAGAUGUGAUGUCAUCUGUUAAAACCAGGAAGAAGCCUCAGAUUGAUGCGGUGAGAGUCAGAAUUAAUAUUUUACUUUGGAGAAUGUCUUGAGAAGAACGUAAUGAACUGAGUUUAGCUAUAGCAGAACCACAGCAUGACGCCUUGUGACGGCUCCUCACCUUCUUCAGUGUUCCCAGCACCUGGCAGAUCUUGAAGAUCUCAUCCACCUCGCUGUUUCCCGGGAACAGCGGUCUGAGGGUGUACAGCUCCGCCAUGAUGCAGCCGACGGCCCAGAUGUCGAUGGGAGAGCUGUAGGAGCUGGACUUGAGCAGAACCUCUGGGGCUCGGUACCUGACAGAACAGCACAGAAGAACAGAAAGAGAACGUUGGCAAGUAGUGGUUUAACUUUAUUGUUGUGCAAAUCCCUCCUUCUUGGCUCAAUAACUGUUUAUAUGCUGCUUUUUGUUGAAGAAAUUUCACUCUUACACUGGAAAAAAUGCCCCUCAGCAAAAUUCGCUGGAUUUUGGUUGAUUUUUUUGUAAAUGUUCUUAAGAAACAUUUUUAACAUUUCUUUUUUCCACCAAAAAAUGUUCAAAAAUUUCCCAAAAAUGUUGAAAAUGUGGACAUCAGAAAUUUCACUGUGAAAAUUAUUUUUUUCCCACAUUUUCAAACUUUAAAACGGGUCGAUUUUGACCUGCAGGAUGACACGAGAGUUAAACUUAUUUUGAGUUUUCUUGUAAAAUUCAAGUCAAAACAAGAUAAUUUCCAGAUUGUUUGACUUAACAAGAUGUUUAAGAUGCAUUGUCUUAAAACAAGUCACUCCAUCUGCUGAAAUGUCUCUUGUUAAGUGAAUUUAUCUUAAAUCAAGUGGGAUGAGACAUUUUGACUAAAAAUAAGACAAAUAGACUUGGUAAGAUUUUGAGUUCAUCCAUCCAUCCAUCCAUCCAUCCAUCCAUCCAUCCAUCCAUCCAUCCAUCAAUCCAUCCAUCCGUCCAUCCAUCCAUGCCUCUCUUCAAAUCCAGACCCAAAACUCAUCUGUUCAAGACUAUUUAUGCUCUCUAACUGCCUCUUUCUUCAUGUAGGUUUUUUUUUUUUUAAUCUUUUUGUAUGGUUCGUUGUAUUUUGUUUUUCCUGUAAAGUGACCUUGGAUGUCAAAAAAGGUGCUUACAAAUAAAAUCUAUCUGUCUGUCUGUC